UACGUAGGGUGCGAGCGUUAAUCGGAAUUACUGGGCGUAAAGCGUGCGCAGGCGGCUAUGCAAGACAGAUGUGAAAUCCCCGGGCUCAACCUGGGAACUGCAUUUGUGACUGCAUGGCUAGAGUACGGUAGAGGGGGAUGGAAUUCCGCGUGUAGCAGUGAAAUGCGUAGAUAUGCGGAGGAACACCGAUGGCGAAGGCAAUCCCCUGGGCCUGCACUGACGCUCAUGCACGAAAGCGUGGGGAGCAACCAGG
RNAcentral lists this ribosomal RNA (253 nucleotides) under uncultured bacterium. RNAcentral describes it as "partial 16S ribosomal RNA". It matches the Rfam family "Bacterial small subunit ribosomal RNA", at positions 524 to 776 of the family's 1533-position model. The record is from RNAcentral.